CCUACGAGUGGCUGCAGUGGGGAAUAUUGGACAAUGGGCGAAAGCCUGAUCCAGCCAUGCCGCGUGUGUGAAGAAGGCCUUCGGGUUGUAAAGCACUUUCAGUGGGGAAGAAAGCCUUGGGGCUAAUACCCUCGAGGAAGGACAUCACCCACAGAAGAAGCACCGGCUAACUCCGUGCCAGCAGCCGCGGUAAUACGGAGGGUGCGAGCGUUAAUCGGAAUUACUGGGCGUAAAGCGCGCGUAGGCGGUCUGAUAAGCCGGUUGUGAAAGCCCCGGGCUCAACCUGGGAACGGCAUCCGGAACUGUCAGGCUAGAGUGCAGGAGAGGAAGGUAGAAUUCCCGGUGUAGCGGUGAAAUGCGUAGAGAUCGGGAGGAAUACCAGUGGCGAAGGCGGCCUUCUGGACUGACACUGACGCUGAGGUGCGAAAGCGUGGGUAGCAAACAGGAUUAGAUACCCGGGUAGUC
RNAcentral lists this ribosomal RNA (465 nucleotides) under Vreelandella stevensii. RNAcentral describes it as "partial 16S ribosomal RNA". It matches the Rfam family "Bacterial small subunit ribosomal RNA", at positions 338 to 795 of the family's 1533-position model. The record is from RNAcentral. Lineage: Bacteria; Pseudomonadati; Pseudomonadota; Gammaproteobacteria; Oceanospirillales; Halomonadaceae.